AAGUACUCAGCCCUGCAUAUUGUUUUCCUUAAUGUGCAUGUUGAUCGUUGUCAAAGUCGAGGAGGUGUUGGGACAGAAGAAUAAAUAAGUAGGAAGAUAGCUGGUGUAGUAUGUCGCAGAAAUCACUCUGACUCAGUACAAUAUUAUCUUUAUCAUAUUGAGACAAUGUUUCCUUGAACUAAGUAAUAUUCAUGAUAAGUUGAGACAAUUCUCCAUCGGGUCGCUGGCAUUUCAUCCGUGCGACUAAUUCCACCAUUGACGUUUUCUGCGGAAAGAACCCCUUUUCUUUUCCUCGGUCGUUCCGCCGUUUUUUCGCCCUUACUGGGGCUCGGCUGAUUCGAGCCAUUGUCGGAACAGAGGAGGCGUCGCCUCCGUGACCCCCCCUUCUCUCUCUCGGCUGUCCUACAGCGGUGAGCACCGACGUCAGCUGCCAGCCAGCUCCGCCGCCGUGCCGCGCUGUGGACAUCUCGUCGACAGCCGCCAGCCAGCUCCGAUUCUUCGUCGAGCAGCGUUUCUGCCCGCGGCUACCUCCGCCGGCGUGCUCGCUGUCGCCAUCGUGGCUGGGGAGUCCCAGACUUCGAAUUGGUGCUCAUCUUCGCCCGUCGCCGCGGCUCCGCCUCUACGGUUCCAGAUCUAAGUUCUAACUCUCCUUUUUCUUAUUUUAUGGAGUUAAGUGACGUUGGUGUUCAAGCUGGGUAGUAUUACGAUUGUAUGUUUAGUGUUGGCUGAUCGUGCUAAGUUUCUAUUCGGGGAAAUCUCUUGUAUUGUUGAUUGAUUCGAUUGUUCGAUGGGGUAGAUUUCACCCUUUUUCGAUAUGUGUUUAGCACUGCACUAGUUAUGCUGGUGCCCUUCGAUUGUGUUGGCAUUGUUGAAAACUCAUGGCUGCCACUACCUAUGUGAAGCUUGUUCUAUUGUUAUUGAUGUGAGGUUCAUAAUGUGUGCCUCGGUUCUCUGCUAUCUAUUGCCUCAUGCUACAUGAUGCUACUAUGGUUUUUGGUGAUUUACCUCUUGUGAUUUCGUGAACGAGGAGGCUGCUUCAGUUGCUGGUCACUGGGAGCUCCACUUUCUACUCCGUUUGCGACUGGGCAGUAGUGAAGGUGGGAGGGGAAACUUUGAUGCUUGAGGGGCUUUUAUAGGCCUACUCAUGUACUUGGAGUUUGUUAGAGCUUUUGACAGAGAUGUACUCUGAAUCCCUGGCUCCUUUCUAACAGAUUUUGGUUGUUUAUGGGGUGUGUACUCGUGAAUUAAUUGUGGCUGCUCCCUCCCUACUCACUCGGCACUCCACUGCAGCUUCUCACUCCCUCCCCUUUUUCCACAACCAUACUGACUUGGGUACGGUUUUGUAGGUGGAACUGGAGCAGACGUGGUUGGCUGGAGUGUGGGGCGCUGCUACAGCCUGUUCUUCUUCAUCAGCGGCAGCCUUGGCCGCAGAGUGCAGUCCGCUGCAGGGUUGCUUUGCCAUCUAUCUUUCCUACUUUAGCACUAACAUAGCCUUCAUUUAAAAGGCACGAGCACUAACUAGCUGAGAACGUGCCCUCUCCCGACGUGGUGUGUGGUCCUUGGCCCGACGGCUGACGAGAUACUACUUGGGGCGCGGUUUAACUUCGACAAAAAGGGCACAUGCCUGUUUCUUUUCAAAACCUUGUAUAAAAUUCCUUUCUUGUAUGAACUUGAUACCUUCACCUUGGAAUGAAAAAAAGGGUGUGCGUAUUCUUCUUA
Long non-coding RNA from Salvia splendens (bonfire salvia), 1719 nucleotides. RefSeq lists it as uncharacterized. Lineage: Eukaryota; Viridiplantae; Streptophyta; Magnoliopsida; Lamiales; Lamiaceae. The transcript has 2 exons. The record is from RefSeq and is a predicted model, not a curated record.